This 129-nucleotide small nucleolar RNA is filed under the name Mus caroli (Ryukyu mouse). RNAcentral's name for it is "snoRNA (MGP_CAROLIEiJ_G0036742.1)". The record is from RNAcentral. Lineage: Eukaryota; Metazoa; Chordata; Mammalia; Rodentia; Muridae.
GUGCACAUUUCAUUCUUCUCUUUUCUUCACAUCAAGAGAAAAGAUAUCUUUGGUGUGCUAAACCAACCUCUGUAGAUAAUCAGCAGUGUAACCAGUUUAGCCACUGCCGCCAGUCACAUUCAGACAAGC